RNA transcript from Ceratotherium simum simum (southern white rhinoceros), 777 nucleotides. It is a transcript of the gene named mitochondrial sheath formation associated, with no coding region annotated. NCBI's taxonomy places the organism in Eukaryota, Metazoa, Chordata, Mammalia, Perissodactyla, Rhinocerotidae. The record is from RefSeq and is a predicted model, not a curated record.
GGUUUAACUGCCAUUUCACAAAAUGCAAGCUUUUUGUUCUUUGCAUAGCCUAACAAUGGUAUAUAAAGUAAUUGCUCAUAGCAUACCUAGCCAAUUAAUCCUCCCAAUUAAUCCAGGGUGUUUUUUGUUUUGUUUUGUUUUUUGCAUAUCAGUGUUUUUUGCAACUGAUUGCAUAAAGCCAAUGGUGAAAAUUUUGGCAGAUGUGAAUUAAUAAAGAUAUGAUGGCAGCUAGAUCCUAACUACCUAGAGUCAUCAGAGAACAGGGCCCUUCCGAUAAGGGUUCUUUAGCCCCAACACCCCUGGCAUCCUGGCCAACUGUCCCACAGCUACUCACUCUGACUGGUCUCCAAGGUCACAGGAGCUGAUGUCACAAUUGGUGUCUGAGCUCUGCUCCCUAAAAUUGCCAUGGCAAGCCAUUUCAGGUCAGACUGGACCACGAAGCUCCUCUGCCAGGAGCUAUCAUGCUGAGCCAUCCACCAUCUGGUCUUGAAUGAAGACAGCCCAGUUUCCAGGACUCAGGAAAUAGAACAUCACGCCUUUCAAAACCACCCAUUUUCCCCUGCACACUCCACCAGCUGAGCAAGAAGCCCCACGAUGAUUGUUGUCUUAUGGAUGCUUCUCAUUGCAGGAACAAUGUGGAAGGGAUUUAAGUAUCCCCCAGGAGGGACUCCAGUGGAAAUAAGCAAAGAUGAUCCUGGUGAAGUAAUGCAGCUCUGAAGCUCACCUGACCAGCUGUACUGUUCCUGUUGUUGGUUUCACAUAAAGUAAUUGCACAUU